GAUGAACGUUGGCGGCGUGUCUAAGGCAUGCAAGUCGUGCGGACAUCAAUUUGUAGCAAUACGUGUUGAUGUUAGCGGCAAACGGGUGCGUAACACAUUGGUAAUCUACCCUCCAGUCGGGCAUAACUCCGCGAAAGCGGGGCUAAUUCCACGAUGGACAUGGCGGGGACAUAUGUCAUUCGCAUGUAAAGCGCUAAAACGCGCUGGAGGAGGAGCCUAUGGCCCAUCAGCUAGUUGGCGGAGUAAAAGCCCACCAAGGCUAUGACGGGUAGGGGGUGUGAGAGCAUCGACCCCCCUCACUGGGACUGAGACACUGCCCAGACACCUACGGGGAGGCAG
Molecule: ribosomal RNA, 339 nt
Filed under: uncultured Parcubacteria group bacterium
Lineage: Bacteria
Description: bacterial SSU rRNA
Rfam family: Bacterial small subunit ribosomal RNA
Source: RNAcentral